Molecule: ribosomal RNA, 253 nt
Filed under: uncultured bacterium
Lineage: Bacteria
Description: partial 16S ribosomal RNA
Rfam family: Bacterial small subunit ribosomal RNA
Source: RNAcentral
UACGUAGGGUGCGAGCGUUGUCCGGAAUUAUUGGGCGUAAAGGGCUCGUAGGCGGUUCGUCGCGUCGGCUGUGAAAUCCCGAGGCUCAACCUCGGGUCUGCAGUCGAUACGGGCGGACUGGAGUUCGGCAGGGGAGACUGGAAUUCCUGGUGUAGCGGUGAAAUGCGCAGAUAUCAGGAGGAACACCGGUGGCGAAGGCGGGUCUCUGGGCCGAUACUGACGCUGAGGAGCGAAAGCGUGGGGAGCGAACAGG